UGAACAUCAAAACAAGCCACUCAGACGUAGAAAACUUGACAUACAUUACUCCAUUCCGAAGGACAAUCCUUCGGAGAAGGAUAUUAACCAGGGGAUGCUUGUUAUAUUUAAUGUUGACCCCUCUAUAACAAACAAUGAUAUCCAUCAGAUAUUUAGCGAAUAUGGUGACAUAAAAGAGGUAUCUAUGCUCUUACAUUUACUACCAACUACAUUCUAACUAGAACUAUAAUGUCUUAAAUUAAUUGCAGAUUCAUGAUGCACCGCAAAAGGGCCAUCACAAAAUUAUAGAAUUUUAUAAUGUCAGAGCAGCUGAAGGUGCAGCUCGUGCUUUAAACAGGAGUGAUCUUGCUGGCAAGAAAAUAAAACUGGAGACUGGCCGUCUGAGUGGUGCUAGACGUUCAACACAACACAUGUCCAAGGAGUUGGGGUUGGAAGA
Long non-coding RNA from Zea mays, 436 nucleotides. RefSeq lists it as uncharacterized. The record is from RefSeq and is a predicted model, not a curated record. The transcript is spliced from 3 exons. NCBI's taxonomy places the organism in Eukaryota, Viridiplantae, Streptophyta, Magnoliopsida, Poales, Poaceae.